Oncorhynchus nerka (sockeye salmon) is the source of this 3308-nucleotide long non-coding RNA. RefSeq lists it as uncharacterized. Lineage: Eukaryota; Metazoa; Chordata; Actinopteri; Salmoniformes; Salmonidae. The record is from RefSeq and is a predicted model, not a curated record. The transcript has 4 exons.
AUCAUAUGCAUAUACUAUAGUCCUGGCAUGAGUAGCAGGGCGCUGAAAUGUUGCGCGAUUUUUAACAAAAAGAAAAUUCGCAGCUUCCUUAAGAGGUUUUAAGUUAAAUGAAGACAAAUGCUGUUAGUGUACCAAUCAGUUAACAGUCUUUCGUAUCGAACGCUACGUAUCGAACCUACAGAUUCAGAUUCGAUACCCGUGCCAGCCGCCACCGGGAGACCAAUGAGGCAGCUUUUGGUUUUAGUUUAGAAUCCUCCAAUCCUCUAUAUGUAAUUAUUGGCGGAGAGUCACGCCAUAUUUUUCGAUAUACUGUAGGCCUACCAUAGGCGACAUGAGUCCCACAUGAGUAAUGUGCUGUUAAAAGUGGUGUAUGUCUUAUUUAUUUAAAGAACUUAUUGAAGUUAGAAGCAAUAGGAUUUGAAGCACAAAGUAUCAAAAUACAGAGCGGUGUUGGUAAAGGUCCAGUUGAAGUCGGAAGUUUACAUACACCUUAACCAAAUACAUUUAAACUCAGUUUUUCACAAUUCCUGACAUUUAAUCCUAGUAAAAAUUCCCUGUCUUAAAUCAGUUAGGAUCCCCACUUUAUUUUAAGAAUGUGAAAUGCCAGAAUUAACAGUAGAGAGAAUGAUUUUUUUCAGCUUUUAUUUCUUUCAUUCCAUUCCCAGUGGGUUACAAGUUUACACAUACUCAAUUAGUAUUUGGUAGCAUUGCCUUUAAAGUGUUUAACUGUGAUCAAAUGUUUCAGGAAGCCUUCCACAAGCUUCCCACAAUAAGUUGGGUGAAUUUUGGCCCAUUCCUCCUGACAGAGCUGGUGUAACAGGUUUGUAGGCCUCCUUGCUCGCACACGCUUUUUCAGUUCUGCCCACACAUUUGUCUAUGGGAUUGAGGUCAGGGCUUUGUGAUGGCCACUCCAAUACCUUGACUUUGUUGCCCUUAAGCCAUUUUGCCACAACUUUGGAAGUAUGCUUGGGAUCAUUGUCCAUUUGGAAGACCCAUUUGCGACCAAGCUUUAACUUCCUGACUGAUGUCUUGAGAUGUUGCUUCAAUAUAUACACAUUUUGGAGGUUAUUUUGUUUUCAAAAAAACUAAAGUGAGCGAUUGUAAUCUGAAUAAAAGGCCAAAGGCCAAAACAUUUAUUUCAGAGAAACGCUGGGCCAAUUGUGCGCCGCCCUAUGGGACUCCCAAUCACGGUCAGAUGUGAUACAUAGUAAUAAUAAUACUUUUUGAUGUAUUAGUCGUUUUGUCUUUUCUGAUGGAUUAAACUGAAAUUGCAACCAAUCACGGCCAACCUAACUAAGAAAUUUGACUAUAGAAUUCUCCCCCUACCCUCCUUUUAGGCAAGCCUAUUGUCCAGCUACCUGCUAAUAGCCAUAAUGGCACUAUACGACGUGACCAUGUGUGUUUGAAAGAGUAUUGUCCUGUAAGCAACUAUUUGUUUACCUUCAUUAGACAACUUUGUUCCAAUAUUUCUGUAAUUCAGUAAUAUUUAUUACCAUAGUAAUUUGUUAUGUAUCCAUAUCUAAAUAAACAUCGGUAUUUUGAAAGAGUAUUUUUAUCAUUAUUUUAUUACCAAAGGCAUAAAGAUGCAGAUGAAGAUACAGUACUGUACAUUUGGAUAAUAAAACAUUUAAAGCUUUUUGAAGAUAUAAGCCACCUGCAUGUGUUUAUUAGGCUAUAGCAGAACAGCAGAACGGUCCGGACGGCCCUUUCUGUGCCUGGUGAGCAGUUGAUCAAGUUCUGUUGUCUGAAGAGGAAUGGAAAUGUCAGGGUGAACCGACGACCUGAUGAACCCACCAGGUAUGUUGACUCUCAAUGUCAGAUAUGGAGUUCCAGAGCUCGCAGGUGUGCCUGGCAUGAAUUGUGACUCCAUCUUAUUCCACGCCCCCUUCAACGCGCCAUUCUCCGCCUGACUCUCCGCCAAUGCCGCCUGGCUCUGGACCAAUGCAUCAGCUGUCGCCCGUAUCUUUGCCCUCAGAUAAUAUUUCUCUUUCUGCUGGUCUGUCUUCAAUGACUCGAUCUCGGUCUUAAAAGUUUGAAUCUGAUCCAUGUGCACCUUCAUCAGAUGAGCAGAAUGGUACAGCCCUAAGCCCCCAUCGAUUACAGUGGCAUAUGAACAGGUACAGUAGGUGACAAUACUGAAAAAUAGGCCUAAUAAUGCUAAAAAAUAAUGCAUAAAUAAAUCUUAACCAUGUGCUGCACAUUUUUACAUUGUAUUCCGUUUCCAGCGAGACUAUUCAAGACAUCGACUCACUGAAUGAGUCGAUGGCAACCCCAACAUCUCUAUAAUCACAGUCAAAAGACAGUUGAAGAAACUUGCAUGGACUUAUGUAAACGCUCGGUAUCAUGGCCCGAGAUGUCUUUGAGGAAGAAAUCAUCAAGAGAUAUGCUGGCCCCUAUGUCAGAAAAGUGUUUCUGGGACGACAUCGUUUCUUUCAAGACAAUGACACAAAACACACUGCCGCUGUAAGGCGUGUAUAUGGGAGGCGAAGUCAAGUGCAGGAGAGCGGAGUAUAUUAAACAGGCGCACUUUAAUACCGGUCAACAACGACAGCACAUAAAACAGACUAGUGCCACAAACACUGUCUAAUACAAAAGUGCAGUGCCUGACAAAAUAAUCACGUAACAAUAAACAAUUACACACAAAGACAUGAUGGGGAACAGAGGACUAAAUACAUGUUGAUUGAUUUGGGAAUGAAAACCAGGUGUGUAUGGAACAAGACAAAACAAAUGGACAUAUGAGAAAUGGAGCAAGGAGAGGAGCCGACAUCGGCGGAAGUCGUGACAGCCACACAGAUUUGCAUUGCAAAUGAGGGCAUAAACUGGGUCAAGACGCCAGCAGAGUCUCCUGAUUUAAAUCCGUAUCUCUGCCAAGCCUACAAGCAAAUAAGAACUACUCAAGGCCAUCAAGACGUUUUUUGGCAAGAGAAAUUGACAAUAAUACAAUGCAAAAAAUAGAUUGAUCAAGGUUUCAGCAAGGUUUUACCCGUGGUCUUGGAGCUGGGUGGAAGUGCAACUAAAAUGUAGUUUAAAUAACCAUCUGCAUUUUGAAUGUCUUUUUUCUAGUUAUUUUAUUAACGAAAGCAUAAAGACGUUGAUGAAGAAAUACUGUAUUGCUGUUUUGAGUUAGAAAUGUAACACUUCAGAGUACUUAAGCAUCGAAUACAUUGCAGGUAGGGGGAUGUUCACAUCUACAGUAACCGGGCUAUAAAGAGUCUAUUGUCCUGCUAAUCGGGCUACAAGUGUUUGAAAACCUGUUUUCAAAAUGCCACCAGCAGUCCAUCACUACUGUAAAUAAAAACACAGCAUCU